GAUGAACGCUGGCGGCGUGCCUCAAACAUGCAAGUCGAGCGGGGCUAUGUAAUAUCGCAAGGUAGAACAUAGCCUAGCGGCGAACGGGUGAGUAACACGUGGGUAACCUGCCUGGAAGACAGGGAUAACGAUUCGAAAGGGUCGCUAAUACCUGAUAAUAUCCUUUCAUCGCAUGGUGAUAGGAAGAAAGGGGAAACCCGCUUUCAGAUGGGCCCGCGUCCCAUCAGCUAGUUGGUAAGGUAAAGGCUUACCAAGGCGACGACGGGUAGCCGGUCUGAGAGGAUGUACGGCCACACUGGGACUGAGAUACGGCCCAGACUCCUACGGGAGGCAGCAGUUGGGAAUCUUAGGCAAUGGACGAAAGUCUGACCUAGCGACGCCGCGUGAGGGAAGAAGGCCUUCGGGUUGUAAACCCUGUCAUGGGGAAGAAGGAAGUGACGGUACCCCAAGAGGAAGCCCCUGCUAACUACGUG
RNAcentral lists this ribosomal RNA (473 nucleotides) under uncultured bacterium. RNAcentral's name for it is "bacterial SSU rRNA". It matches the Rfam family "Bacterial small subunit ribosomal RNA", at positions 28 to 507 of the family's 1533-position model. The record is from RNAcentral.